AGUGAACGCUGGCGGUAGGCCUAACACAUGCAAGUCGAACGGCAGCACAGUAAGAGCUUGCUCUUACGGGUGGCGAGUGGCGGACGGGUGAGGAAUACAUCGGAAUCUACUUUUUCGUGGGGGAUAACGUAGGGAAACUUACGCUAAUACCGCAUACGACCUACGGGUGAAAGCAGGGGAUCUUCGGACCUUGCGCGAUUGAAUGAGCCGAUGUCGGAUUAGCUAGUUGGCGGGGUAAAGGCCCACCAAGGCGACGAUCCGUAGCUGGUCUGAGAGGAUGAUCCGCCACACUGGAACUGAGACACGGUCCAGACUCCUACGGGAGGCAGCAGUGGGGAAUAUUAGACAAUGGGCGCAAGCCUGAUCCAGCCAUACCGCGUGGGUGAAGAAGGCCUUCGGGUUGUAAAGCCCUUUUGUUGGGAAAGAAAAGCAGCAGGUUAACACCCCGCUGUUCUGACGGUACCCAAAGAAUAAGCACCGGCUAACUUCGUG
This 492-nucleotide ribosomal RNA is filed under the name uncultured bacterium. Its description in RNAcentral is "partial 16S ribosomal RNA". It matches the Rfam family "Bacterial small subunit ribosomal RNA", at positions 29 to 507 of the family's 1533-position model. The record is from RNAcentral.